This 253-nucleotide ribosomal RNA is filed under the name uncultured bacterium. RNAcentral describes it as "partial 16S ribosomal RNA". It matches the Rfam family "Bacterial small subunit ribosomal RNA", at positions 524 to 776 of the family's 1533-position model. The record is from RNAcentral.
UACGAAGGUCCCGAGCGUUAUCCGGAUUUAUUGGGUUUAAAGGGUGCGUAGGCGGGUUAUUAAGUCAGUGGUGAAAGCCUACAGCUUAACUGUAGAAUUGCCAUUGAUACUGAUGAUCUUGAGUAUGAUUGAGGUGGGCGGAAUGUGUCAUGUAGCGGUGAAAUGCUUAGAUAUCAGGAAGAACACCCGUGGCGAAGGCGGCUCUCUGGGACGGUACUGACGCUGAGACGCGAAAGCGUGGGGAGCGAACAGG